Molecule: unclassified non-coding RNA, 21 nt
Filed under: Chlamydomonas reinhardtii
Lineage: Eukaryota; Viridiplantae; Chlorophyta; Chlorophyceae; Chlamydomonadales; Chlamydomonadaceae
Description: small RNA Cre_4154
Source: RNAcentral
UUUGGCUCAGAUCAUGUGUAG